AUCAGCCAGCCGCGGCUUUCCGCAUGAGUGAAUCAUUUGCAGUCUGGACGCGGAGGGGUGAACUUCUGCUGACCACGGCAUUACCCGCUGCUUGUUGAGAAGACUAAGUCCCCUCCAGCACCAUGAUUAAGAGGGGAUGACUACUCCACUCCACUAUCAUUGUCAACUCUCGCCUGACAUUAACUGAAGCCACGUCUCACGUGCCACUCAUCCACCGGCACAUUGAAUGUUUCCCCUCCAAGCACUUCAAAUCCUGUCCUGCACUGAAGUCAAGACUCUGAACACCUCAACUCAUGCAUCAUACUCUCAUUCAAUCACAAUCCCUUCCCAACACUGUAUGCUGAACUGAGUCAGACCUGCAUGGGACGCCAGCGCGAACACAUACACACACACCCAUCACCCCCUCCUCUCUGAGACUCACAGCGUCCCUCCCCACUCCAAAAGAAGAGGCUAUAGGGAUGCUGGGCUGCCAGUCCAGCUGUCUCCAUCUGGCCAGCUCACUUGGCAGCAUGUGACACCACACAACUCAUGCCAAACUGUGUCCCAGCAGCUGGAGGGCCACAGCAAAAACCAAUCAACAAACAGAACAGCAUCGGUCUCACUGUUGCUGGGCCAGCUUCUAUACGCUCUGAGAAAAUGUUCACGCUACAGUAUACUGUAGGCCUAUCCUACCAAAACAAAAGUCCCUGUUCCAUUCAAU
Oncorhynchus tshawytscha (Chinook salmon) is the source of this 700-nucleotide long non-coding RNA. The record is from Ensembl. Lineage: Eukaryota; Metazoa; Chordata; Actinopteri; Salmoniformes; Salmonidae.